GAAAUUCACCAUUGACUUGCUAAUCACUAAUUUUAUGCUUCAUUGAAUGUUGAAACUCUCGUGAAAGUCGAAGAGGCCAAGCCAAACCCAUGCAAUCUAAGGAAAUAGGUGACCAACUCAAUCAUAGAAUAUUUGAUAAGACUGUCAGCAACUUGCUAUUGGUCAUUUGGCAUCAUGGCUAAAAGAAUAAUUAGGUGUGCCAAGUGCAUUUCGCUGGGCAUCACAUGAUUGGUCCCAUAUGAUGGAAUCCACCUGCUGUGAAAAGGCUCCACACAGUACUGUACCAGGCCAAUGUAAAACAUCAACUCAGGCAAAUCAACCAUGAUGUCGGGGCACUACAUUGUCCAGAAACACACAACUACCACAAAUCUAACACCUGGAAAAUUCUGUGCGUACAUCAAAAUAUUCACAUGACGAGAAUUGGCUCUUCCCUUUCAAUAAAUCCCUUUUCUCGGCCCAAAGGAUAUGAACUUGAGAUCUCUGUGAUGAGUUCCCAAGCUUUCACUGCUGAGCUGACCUUUUAAAAAAUUCUUUAUUUCCAUUUCAAUGACAUUAAAAUUUGUCAACUUAUGGAAAAAGAAAAAGAUUACAAGUGACAAUCAUUUGAAAGAGUUGCCUACUGUACACAAACUUUGAAAUCAUAAAAUAAAUUCAUUCCAAGUCUCCCUCAAUCAUUACAGCUAUUUCCAACCCAGUACUGUGAUUUCGAAUAAUUUGACUCUGAAUCAGGUCUCUGCACAUGACACAUACCACUUGCUAAUAAAGAGCCAGGUUAGGAAAGUAGUUGACUAAUGCUCCCGCCUUUGGCCAAUUAUCCCAUUUCCACUCUUAAUAAAGCAAGAGAGCAAAAGUGGCCAUAAACAAACAGUUUCCACAUCUUAGAGCCCAUUUGGUGGACAUGUUUUAGUUGCUUAUCCAACCUGCUUUUUGCCAUCUUUUUACUACUGAUGGAACAAGAAUUUGCGAAAAGCGGUCCAUUAGCAGUGCAAAAUGGGGCUUUAUUCCAGAUAAACAAAAUAUCACCGAGUUCUUGACCCUAGCAUAUUUAAACUACUGAUCAGGUCCCCAACAUAGCUCGCUAUGCUUAACUACAAAGUAUAAAAUUUAAGCCCCAGUAGCAUGAUCUCAUUUACAGAAAAGCAACAAAAUAUAACUUCAUAUGGAUGAAAAUGGCUCCCCUCCUCACCUCAAAGAAAGAAAAAAUAAAAACAAAAAAAGUGCAUUACUAAACUAAAUGGCAUAGAUGAAUUAAAGUUGCAUGAUACAAAUGAUUACGGUAAAGCACCAACCAUAUCAGUAAUUGCCUGAGGCAGGAAGUCAUCUUGGAGUGCCUAAUAACAUUAUCAGUAUCAUGGGCACAGUAAGGAAUGCUCAGAAUAAAAAUUUCAACAUACUUCAGAACUGUGAGUAAGCAAUAAAGAAGAUCAAAGCAGUAGAUGGUAAUAAGACAUUGGAAAGGUUACUAUAUCAAGACUUUCACCUAUAACCAUAAAAUAAACAAUCAGAUUCCAUCAACCAUCAUGUAGUAUAAUAUGAGCGUGAUAAUAUAAAAAAUCAAAGAUCGUAACUUCAAAUGGCUUUAAUUUUUGCAAUAUGGCGCUUGUAAGAGUAACAGUAUCCAUAUAUUAAUACGGCCAUUUUUGAAAAAUAUAGAAAUCAAACACAUCAUACAUACCUCGAGACAAAAACAAAAAACUCAACUAAAUCACAACUCAACUAAAUCACGGCUCUCCUUUGUCGAACCUUAGCCUUCUCAGCAUCAAUAAUUGAUUCAACCAGCUUCACCGCGUAAUCCAACUUCCCCUCAGCAUUCACAACCACAUAAUCAAAAUUCUUGAUGUGUUGCACCUCCUCUCUGGCGGUGGCAACCCUCACAAGCAAAGACUCUGCUGUCUCCGUCUUCCUAUCAAUCAACCUAUCCACAAGCUCCAACUCGCUUUCCGCUACCAAAAAUAUAAACACAGCCGAAUUCCCCAGGAUCUUCCUCAAUGUCUGUGCUCCCUGUAUAUCUACCCUCAACACAAUAUCAUACCCUUUUGCCAUAUAAUCCGUAAUCUGCCUUUUUGGUAUCCCCUUAUAAUCACCAUACACAAGUGCAUAUUCUAACAGCUCAUUUUUAUCCACCAUCGAUAAAAAUUCCUCCUUUGACACAAAAUAAUAGUCCUUACCAUCAACCUCGCCCGGACGCAUUGGCCUGCUAGUCGCAGUUACAACAAAAUGCAAAUUUUCUCGCCCUUCUCUCAAUUUUCUGAUAACUGCGUCUUUGCCAACCCCACUCGGGCCGCUAAUUACAAUGAUUAAAGGAUUCGGCGGUGGGCAAAUGGGUUCACUGCUGAAUGAGGAACCCAAAGAGGACUCGAGGGCACGGAGCAAUUCGGGUUUAGUUGCCUUUUCAAGUUGUGGGAUAGUGGAUUUGGGUUUGUGGGUAUCACCCAUUUUGGUAAAAGAUGCAGAGAAUCGGUGGCGGGCAGAAUUGAAAAGGCGAGAACUUGGUUUGUGAGAGAUUUGGGAGCAGAUAGGGGUUUGGACGUGAAAGAAUGAGGAGUGGAGAAUAGCAGAGCGGGAGUAAGAGAAGCAGAUUCUGCGAAACAUGAGGAGGAUUGACAGGUUGGUGGUGAGACUAUACGAAGAGGAGAAAGCGAAGUAUUUAAUUAGGAUCUACAAGGGCAUCGUUUGUGGUUAGGGUUUUAGGUCACUGGAAAUGGAAUUUGUUUUGAUUCUAUUUUUUUCAGCUGCUGCUGACAUCUCACGCUCCAUUUUUUUUCCCCCAAAAUAUAAAUGAGACGAAAAAGCAAAAUGAAUAAAGGGAAGCUUUACGUUUCCUCCCUUUUCCCGGGGGAAAAAUUACUUCUAUUUUUCUCUAAAUUUUCUUUGAUUUUUAAUGAUAGAGCAUUUUUUUUCAUAAAAUUUAAAACAUAUUAAUGUUUUUUUUUUUAAGGAAA
Molecule: unclassified non-coding RNA, 2942 nt
Filed under: Hevea brasiliensis (rubber tree)
Lineage: Eukaryota; Viridiplantae; Streptophyta; Magnoliopsida; Malpighiales; Euphorbiaceae
Source: RNAcentral